GUACACACCGCCCGUCACACCAUGGGAGUCGGUUGCACCAGAAGUAGGUAGUCUAACCUUCGGGAGGGCGCUUACCACGGUAUGAUUCAUGACUGGGGUGAAGUCGUAACAAGGUAGCCGUAGGUGAACCUGCAGAAGGAUCA
This 143-nucleotide ribosomal RNA is filed under the name uncultured eukaryote. RNAcentral describes it as "partial small subunit ribosomal RNA". It matches the Rfam family "Bacterial small subunit ribosomal RNA", at positions 1383 to 1525 of the family's 1533-position model. The record is from RNAcentral.